CCUACGGGGGGCUGCAGUGAGGAAUAUUGGUCAAUGGGCGAGAGCCUGAACCAGCCAAGUCGCGUGAGGGAGUACUGCCCUAUGGGUUGUAAACCUCUUUUGUCGGGGAGCAAAAGCCGGACGUGUCCGGCUGUGAGAGUACCCGAAGAAAAAGCAUCGGCUAACUCCGUGCCAGCAGCCGCGGUAAUACGGGGGAUGCGGGCGUUAUCCGGAUUUAUUGGGUUAAAAGGGUGCGCAGGCGGAUUUUUAAGUCAGCGGUAAAAUCGUGGGGCUCAACCCCAUCCAGCCGUUGAAACUGGGGAUCUAGAGUGUGCGAGAGGUAUGCGGAAUGCGUGGUGUAGCGGUGAAAUGCAUAGAUAUCACGCAGAACCCCGAUUGCGAAGGCAGCAUACCGGUGCACAACUGACGCUCAGGCACGAAAGCGUGGGUAUCGAACAGGAUUAGAUACCCGUGUAGUC
This 458-nucleotide ribosomal RNA is filed under the name uncultured bacterium. Its description in RNAcentral is "partial 16S ribosomal RNA". It matches the Rfam family "Bacterial small subunit ribosomal RNA", at positions 338 to 795 of the family's 1533-position model. The record is from RNAcentral.